GACGAACGCUGGCGGCGUGCUUAACACAUGCAAGUCGAACGGAAAGGCCCUGCUUUUGUGGGGUGCUCGAGUGGCGAACGGGUGAGUAACACGUGAGUAACCUGCCCUUGACUUUGGGAUAACUUCAGGAAACUGGGGCUAAUACCGGAUAGGAGCUCCUGCUGCAUGGUGGGGGUUGGAAAGCUUCGGCGGUUGGGGAUGGACUCGCGGCUUAUCAGCUUGUUGGUGGGGUAGUGGCUUACCAAGGCUUUGACGGGUAGCCGGCCUGAGAGGGUGACCGGCCACAUUGGGACUGAGAUACGGCCCAGACUCCUACGGGAGGCAGCAGUGGGGAAUAUUGCACAAUGGGCGGAAGCCUGAUGCAGCAACGCCGCGUGCGGGAUGACGGCCUUCGGGUUGUAAACCGCUUUCGCCUGUGACGAAGCGUGAGUGACGGUAAUGGGUAAAGAAGCACCGGCUAACUACGUGCCAGCAGCCGCGGUGAUACGUAGGGUGCGAGUGUUGUCCGGAUUUAUUGGGCGUAAAGGGCUCGUAGGUGGUUGAUCGCGUCGGAAGUGUAAUCUUGGGGCUUAACCCUGAGCGUGCUUUCGAUACGGGUUGACUUGAGGAAGGUAGGGGAGAAUGGAGUUCCUGGUGGAGCGGUGGAAUGCGCAGAUAUCAGGAGGAACACCAGUGGCGAAGGCGGUUCUCUGGGCCUUUCCUGACGCUGAGGAGCGAAAGCGUGGGGAGCGAACAGGCUUAGAUACCCUGGUAGUCCACGCUGUAAACGGUGGGUACUAGGUGUGGGGUCCAUUCCACGGGUUCCGUGCCGUAGCUAACGCUUUAAGUACCCCGCCUGGGGAGUACGGCCGCAAGGCUAAAACUCAAAGGAAUUGACGGGGCCCCGCACAAGCGGCGGAGCAUGCGGAUUAAUUCGAUGCAACGCGUAGAACCUUACCUGGGUUUGACAUGGAUCGGGAGUGCUCAGAGGUGGGUGUGCCUCUUUUGGGGUCGGUUCACAGGUGGUGCGUGGCUGUCGUCAGCUCGUGUCGUGAGAUGUUGGGUUAAGUCCCGCAACGAGCGCAACCCUUGUUCACUGUUGCCAGCACGUUAUGGUGGGGACUCAGUGGAGACCGCCGGGGUCAACUCGGAGGAAGGUGGGGAUGACGUCAAGUCAUCAUGCCCCUUAUGUCCAGGGCUUCACGCAUGCUACAAUGGCUGGUACAGAGAGUGGCGAGCCUGUGAGGGUGAGCGAAUCUCGGAAAGCCGGUCUCAGUUCGGAUUGGGGUCUGCAACUCGACCUCAUGAAGUCGGAGUCGCUAGUAAUCGCAGAUCAGCAACGCUGCGGUGAAUACGUUCCCGGG
This 1343-nucleotide ribosomal RNA is filed under the name uncultured bacterium. RNAcentral describes it as "16S ribosomal RNA". It matches the Rfam family "Bacterial small subunit ribosomal RNA", at positions 28 to 1378 of the family's 1533-position model. The record is from RNAcentral.